AUGAAUUUAAUUCCGAAAAUCUCUACUGUCAAAGGCACCAAGUGCCAAGUAUGUGUGCAAGCUAAGCAACCUCGCAAGUCCCAUAAGACUGCAGAUGCAAGAGACUUGGCGCCACUUGAGCUUAUACAUUCUGAUCUUUGUGAGAUGAAUGGCGUGUUGACAAAAGGUGGAAAGAGAUACUUCAUGAUGUUGAUUUAUGACUCCACUAGAUAUUGUUAUGUGUAUCUUCUGAAAUCAAAAGAUGAGGCUUUGACUUUCUUUAAAAACUAUAAAGCUGAGGCAGAGAACCAACUUGAUCGAAAAAUUAAACGGCUUAGGUCCGAUCGUGGUGGAGAGUAUUUUUCCAAUGAAUUUGAUCUGUUUUGUGCGAAACAUGGUAUAAUCCAUGAGAGGACACCUCCCUACUCACCCCAGUCAAAUGGGGUAGCCGAAAGAAAGAACCGAACUCUAACUGAUAUGGUUAACACCAUGUUAGACACUUCGGGUCUAUCCAAGGAAUGGUGGGGGGAGGCGCUAAUGACUGCGUGUCAUGUCCUAAACCGAGUUCCCACAAAGCAUAAGACCAUGACUCCAUUUGAGGAAUGGGAAAGGAAAAGGUUGAAACUCUCUUACCUACGUACUUGGGGUUGUUUGGCGAAAGUCAAUAUACCAAUUCCCAAGAAGCGCAAGCUUGGACCAAAAACCGUGGAUUGUGUUCUUCUGGGCUUUGCUUUUCAUAGCAUCGGCUAUAGAUUUUUGAUAAUAAAAUCUGAGGUAUCCGACAUGCAUGUUGGUACGAUUAUGGAAUCAAAUGAUGCAACUUUCUUUGAGGACAUAUUUCCUACGAAGGAUACGUCGAGUUCAUCAAAUCAGGAGAUACCUACUCCAUCUAGUGAGGAAUUCACUGUAAUUCCUGAACCCACCAUUGCAAUGGAACACGUUGAGAAUCCUGUUGAGGGUAACAAUGGAACUCCUAUGAGGAGUAAGAGACAGAGGACUGCAAAGUCUUUUGGUGAUGAUUUCAUUGUGUACCUCGUGGAUGACACACCCAGGACUAUUUCAGAUGCCUAUGCAUCUCCUCAUGCUGACUACAAGAAGGAAGCUGGACGUAGCAAGAUGGAUUCCAUCUUAUCUAACGGUACCUGGGAGAUCACUGACCGUCCUUAUGGGUGCAAACCUGUAGGAUGUAAGUGGGUGUUCAAGAAGAGGCUUAGACCUGAUGGUACGAUUGAAAAGUACAAGGCACGGCUUGUGGCCAAGGGUUAUACCCAGAAAGAACGUGAAGACUUCUUUGAUACUUACUCACCCGUGGCUAGACUGGCCACAAUUCGGGUGCUACUAUCACUGGCUGCCUCACAUGGUCUUCUCGUUCAUCAAAUGGACGUUAAGACGGCUUUCCUCAAUGGAGAGUUGAAGGAGGAAAUUUACAUGGAUCAGCCAGAUGGUUUUGUAGUACCUGGUCAAGAAGGAAAGGUGUGCAAGUUAUUAAAGUCUUUAUAUGGCCUUAAACAAGCUCAUAAGGAGUGGCAUGAGAAGUUCAAAAGAACAUUAACUGCUGCCAGCUUUGUAGUAAACGAUGGUGACAAGUGCGUGUACUAUCGCUAUGGCGGGGGCGAAGGAGUUAUUCUUUGUCUGUAUGUCGACGACAUAUUGAUCUUUGGAACCAAACUUGAUUUGAUCAAGGAGGUUAAGGAUUUCUUAUCUCGCUAUUUUGAGAUGAAGGAUCUAGGAGUAGCUGAUGUUAUCUCAAACAUCAAGCUGUUGAGAGAUGAGAAUGGUGGGGUCACACUGCUUCAGCUCAUUAUGUGGAAAAGGUCUUGA
RNAcentral lists this ribosomal RNA (1800 nucleotides) under Triticum aestivum (bread wheat). RNAcentral describes it as "partial small subunit ribosomal RNA". Lineage: Eukaryota; Viridiplantae; Streptophyta; Magnoliopsida; Poales; Poaceae. The record is from RNAcentral.